Molecule: ribosomal RNA, 278 nt
Filed under: uncultured prokaryote
Description: partial 16S ribosomal RNA
Rfam family: Bacterial small subunit ribosomal RNA
Source: RNAcentral
UACGUAGGGGCUAGCGUUAUCCGGAAUUACUGGGCGUAAAGGGUGCGUAGGUGGUUUCUUAAGUCAGAGGUGAAAGGCUACGGCUCAACCGUAGUAAGCCUUUGAAACUGGGAAACUUGAGUGCAGGAGAGGAGAGUGGAAUUCCUAGUGUAGCGGUGAAAUGCGUAGAUAUUAGGAGGAACACCAGUUGCGAAGGCGGCUCUCUGGACUGUAACUGACGCUGAGGCACGAAAGCGUGGGGAGCAAAACAGGGAUUAGAUACCCUGGUAGUCCCUGAG